UCCAUGGUGGUCCAGUAGUUAAGACGCUGUGCUUCCAAUGCAGGGGGCCUGAGUUCAAUCCCUGGUCAGGGAA
RNAcentral lists this transfer RNA (73 nucleotides) under Bos taurus (domestic cattle). It matches the Rfam family "tRNA". Rfam says of the family: Transfer RNA (tRNA) molecules are approximately 80 nucleotides in length. Their secondary structure includes four short double-helical elements and three loops (D, anti-codon, and T loops). Further hydrogen bonds mediate the characteristic L-shaped molecular structure. tRNAs have two regions of fundamental functional importance: the anti-codon, which is responsible for specific mRNA codon recognition, and the 3' end, to which the tRNAs corresponding amino acid is attached (by aminoacyl-tRNA synthetases). tRNAs cope with the degeneracy of the genetic code in two manners: having more than one tRNA (with a specific anti-codon) for a particular amino acid; and 'wobble' base-pairing, i.e. permitting non-standard base-pairing at the 3rd anti-codon position. The record is from Rfam by way of RNAcentral. Lineage: Eukaryota; Metazoa; Chordata; Mammalia; Artiodactyla; Bovidae. RNAcentral also lists the same sequence under 1 other name.